Molecule: ribosomal RNA, 460 nt
Filed under: uncultured bacterium
Lineage: Bacteria
Description: partial 16S ribosomal RNA
Rfam family: Bacterial small subunit ribosomal RNA
Source: RNAcentral
CCUACGGGGGGCAGCAGUGAGGAAUAUUGGUCAAUGGACGAGAGUCUGAACCAGCCAAGUAGCGUGAAGGAUGACUGCCCUAUGGGUUGUAAACUUCUUUUAUAUGGGAAUAAAACGUUCCACGUGUGGGAUUUUGUAUGUACCAUAUGAAUAAGGAUCGGCCAACUCCGUGCCAGCAGCCGCGGUAAUACGGAGGAUUCGAGCGUUAUCCGGAUUUAUUGGGUUUAAAGGGAGCGUAGGUGGAUUGGUAAGUCAGUUGUGAAAGUUUGAGGCUCAACCGUAAAAUUGCAGUUGAAACUGGCAGUCUUGAGUACAGUAGGGGUGGGCGGAAUUCGUGGUGUAGCGGUGAAAUGCUUAGAUAUCACGAAGAACUCCGAUUGCGAAGGCAGUUCACUGGACUGCAACUGACACUGAGGCUCGAAAGUGUGGGUAUCAAACAGGAUUAGAUACCCCGGUAGUC